GUUGGCUUAGAAGCAGCCAUCAUUUAAAGAGUGCGUAAUAGCUCACUGGUCGAGUGACUCUGCGCCGAAAAUGUAACGGGGCUAAACGGACCACCGAAGCCGCGGAUGCCGAAGGGCAUGGUAGGGGAGCGUUCCCGGGGCGUCGAAGUCGCACCGUGAGGUGCGGUGGAGCGCCGGGAAGUGAGAAUGCCGGUGUGAGUAACGAAAAGAGGGGUGAGAAUCCCCUCCGCCGAAAGCCUAAGGGUUCCUGAGGAAGGUUCGUCCGCUCAGGGUAAGUCGGGACCUAAG
RNAcentral lists this ribosomal RNA (288 nucleotides) under Anophryoides haemophila. RNAcentral's name for it is "partial Bacterial large subunit ribosomal RNA". It matches the Rfam family "Bacterial large subunit ribosomal RNA", at positions 1100 to 1395 of the family's 2925-position model. Lineage: Eukaryota; Ciliophora; Oligohymenophorea; Philasterida; Glauconematidae. The record is from RNAcentral.